GGAUGGUUGCCCGAACGGUAAGGGGUGCGGCUGUAACCCGCAAGCAUGCCAGACAUAGGUGGUUCAAUUCCAUCACCAUCCACCA
Molecule: transfer RNA, 85 nt
Filed under: Undibacterium sp.
Lineage: Bacteria; Pseudomonadati; Pseudomonadota; Betaproteobacteria; Burkholderiales; Oxalobacteraceae
Also listed under: 2 other names
Description: tRNA-Tyr
Rfam family: tRNA
About the family: Transfer RNA (tRNA) molecules are approximately 80 nucleotides in length.
Source: RNAcentral